UUAUUGAUUAUAAUUGUGUUUUAUAAAACUUGUGAAAUAUGUGGUUUAAGAGCCGCUAGCCGGUCGUAUAGAUGGCCAAAAGAGAAUUUUCAUGGCCAAAUUUCCACUGGAUGAGGAAAGAUGUAAACAGUGGGUUAAGAUGACCGGUAAGGAGGAUCUGGUUUAUGUGCCUAUUGAAAAGCUACAUCAACUUAAACGAAUUUGUGGCAAUCAUUUUCUACCACAACAUUUUAAGAACACAAUUGAAAAAAAAAAACAAUUCCAUGUGUGGGACUUACUGCAGACACUUUAUUUUAUAAUAAAUAAAUAUAAUUAUAUUUUUC
This is a long non-coding RNA of Plutella xylostella (diamondback moth), 323 nucleotides long. RefSeq lists it as uncharacterized. NCBI's taxonomy places the organism in Eukaryota, Metazoa, Arthropoda, Insecta, Lepidoptera, Plutellidae. The record is from RefSeq and is a predicted model, not a curated record.